GUCGAACGGUAACAUUUCUAGCUUGCUAGAAGAUGACGAGUGGCGGACGGGUAGUAAUGCUUGGGAACUUGCCUUUGCGAGGGGGAUAACAGUUGGAAACGACUGCUAAUACCGCAUAACGUCUUCGGACCAAACGGGGCUUAGGCUCCGGCGCAAAGAGAGGCCCAAGUGAGAUUAGCUAGUUGGUAAGGUAACGGCUUACCAAGGCGACGAUCUCUAGCUGUUCUGAGAGGAAGAUCAGCCACACUGGGACUGAGACACGGCCCAGACUCCUACGGGAGGCAGCAGUGGGGAAUAUUGCACAAUGGGGGAAACCCUGAUGCAGCCAUGCCGCGUGUGUGAAGAAGGCCUUCGGGUUGUAAAGCACUUUCAGUUGUGAGGAAAAGUUAGUAGUUAAUACCUGCUAGCCGUGACGUUAACAACAGAAGAAGCACCGGCUAACUCCGUGCCAGCAGCCGCGGUAAUACGGAGGGUGCGAGCGUUAAUCGGAAUUACUGGGCGUAAAGCGCACGCAGGCGGUUUGUUAAGCUAGAUGUGAAAGCCCCGGGCUCAACCUGGGAUGGUCAUUUAGAACUGGCAGACUAGAGUCUUGGAGAGGGGAGUGGAGUUCCAGGUGUAGCGGUGAAAUGCGUAGAUAUCUGGAGGAACAUCAGUGGCGAAGGCGACUCCCUGGCCAAAGACUGACGCUCAUGUGCGAAAGUGUGGGUAGCGAACAGGAUUAGAUACCCUGGUAGUCCACACCGUAAACGCUGUCUACUAGCUGUGUGUGCCUUUAA
This 776-nucleotide ribosomal RNA is filed under the name uncultured Alteromonas sp. Its description in RNAcentral is "bacterial SSU rRNA". It matches the Rfam family "Bacterial small subunit ribosomal RNA", at positions 61 to 835 of the family's 1533-position model. The record is from RNAcentral. Lineage: Bacteria; Pseudomonadati; Pseudomonadota; Gammaproteobacteria; Alteromonadales; Alteromonadaceae.